GACGAACGCUGGCGGCGUGCUUAACACAUGCAAGUCGAACGGAAAGGCCCUGCUUUUGUGGGGUGCUCGAGUGGCGAACGGGUGAGUAACACGUGAGUAACCUGCCCUUGACUUUGGGAUAACUUCAGGAAACUGGGGCUAAUACCGGAUAGGAGCUCCUGCUGCAUGGUGGGGGUUGGAAAGUUUCGGCGGUUGGGGAUGGACUCGCGGCUUAUCAGCUUGUUGGUGGGGCAGUGGCUUACCAAGGCUUUGACGGGUAGCCGGCCUGAGAGGGUGACCGGCCACAUUGGGACUGAGAUACGGCCCAGACUCCUACGGGAGGGAGCAGUGGGGAAUAUUGCACAAUGGGCGGAAGCCUGAUGCAGCAACGCCGCGUGCGGGAUGACGGCCUUCGGGUUGUAAACCGCUUUCGCCUGUGACGAAGCGUGAGUGACGGUAAUGGGUAAAGAAGCACCGGCUAACUACGUG
This 468-nucleotide ribosomal RNA is filed under the name uncultured bacterium. RNAcentral's name for it is "partial 16S ribosomal RNA". It matches the Rfam family "Bacterial small subunit ribosomal RNA", at positions 28 to 507 of the family's 1533-position model. The record is from RNAcentral.